RNAcentral lists this long non-coding RNA (693 nucleotides) under Numida meleagris (helmeted guineafowl). RNAcentral's name for it is "lncRNA (ENSNMEG00000000252.1)". The record is from RNAcentral. Lineage: Eukaryota; Metazoa; Chordata; Aves; Galliformes; Numididae.
UGCACUUGUUGUGCAAUUCUUUUUGGCAGUGUUUGAAUUACUUCUAGUGCUCAAUCUUGGGUUGGCUUCUUGUUGCUAUGCAAGCUUUUCUGUCAAGUGUACUGCACAACAUUCUGAUCUGAAAGCCAGUUGGCGAGAGUUGCUUGCUUAGAAUGAUAAUACUUUUGAUUUCAUUUUAAAGUUAAAGGAUUGUUUUAUGAAGUGUUGUCCUUAGCCUUAAGGCUCUAAAUAGUGCCAUUUUGGACCACUGAAUGAUCAUCUUUGAUAGAGAAGGAAAAGUGUCUUAUUUGCAGAUUGUCUUUAGAUGACUGACUUAAAGAACGUGCUCUUUGGAUGGGAAAACUUCAGAUCGGCAGGACUGUAUCUCCAGCUUUGAAUUCCUAUCCAGUCCUAAGGAAAUCCUGUUGCAUUACUGACAGCUGAUGCAUCAAGUGAAGUUUGAUGAUAGCAAAAAUCUCUAUUGGUGGAGUCUACAGGCUGCAGACAAACCUUGAGGAAGGUCUCCUAUAGCAGCAUGAAAGGUUUGUGUGUUCAUCUGCCUGUUUCUACAUCUAUCUUUUAUGAUGUCGACUAUCUCUGAACUGAGAAGAGAUGAAAAAGAGAUUUCAUUAGAGGAAGGGAUGGAAUAAGAUGGGAGGUAGAAGAGGAUAGGAAAAGCAUACAUUUGCAUGCAAUGAAACUUCAGUAUCAAAG